UAGUGAACAAGCUGCACUGCAGGCACCUUGCCAGUCAAUCCCAGGCUGCGCAGGCUCAGGAACUGCAAGCUAGAUUAUCCAACCUUUAUGUUGAUGAGCACUUACCCACGUGAGUAAUUCUAUUGAACUCAAUGGGAGGUAGAUGCCUAGGUGCUUUUGAAAAUCACUAAAUAUCUUUAAAAAUUGAGGCCAAAGAUACUACUUAGUGCAAGUAAGUGAGUUCAGUAGGUGUUAGCUAGUGAGGCCCCAAUCCUGGAUGUCCUGGGUGGUGCACUAUACAGGCGUAUGUUCAUCUGCACAGUG
This 303-nucleotide long non-coding RNA is filed under the name Chrysemys picta bellii (western painted turtle). RNAcentral's name for it is "lncRNA (ENSCPBG00000026719.1)". The record is from RNAcentral. Lineage: Eukaryota; Metazoa; Chordata; Testudines; Emydidae.